Molecule: ribosomal RNA, 400 nt
Filed under: uncultured bacterium
Lineage: Bacteria
Description: bacterial SSU rRNA
Rfam family: Bacterial small subunit ribosomal RNA
Source: RNAcentral
AACGAACGCUGGCGGCGUGCUUAACACAUGCAAGUCGAACGGGUUUAUUGGAUGUAGCAAUACAUUCAAUAGAUUAGUGGCGCACGGGUGAGUAACGCGUAGGCAACCUACCCUUGUAUUGGGGAUAACCCCGCGAAAGCGGGGCUAAUACCGAAUGAGACCCUGUUCUGGUGGGGACAGGGUGAAAGUCGGCCGCUCGGAGAAGCUGACGUACGAGGAUGGGCCUGCGUCCUAUCAGCUAGUUGGUGCGGUAGCGGCCUACCAAGGCGACGACGGGUAGCUGGUCUGAGAGGAUGAUCAGCCACACUGGCACUGGAACACGGGCCAGACUCCUACGGGAGGCAGCAGUGAGGAAUUUUGCGCAAUGGCCGCAAGGCUGACGCAGCAACGCCGCGUGGGU